This 381-nucleotide unclassified non-coding RNA is filed under the name Hevea brasiliensis (rubber tree). Lineage: Eukaryota; Viridiplantae; Streptophyta; Magnoliopsida; Malpighiales; Euphorbiaceae. The record is from RNAcentral.
UGUUGAUCAACCCAUUGAUCCAAAUGAACCCACCUACUGUGUGUGCCAUCAGGUAUCCUUUGGAGAUAUGAUUGCCUGCGACAAUGAAAAUUGCCAAGGCGGUGAAUGGUUUCACUAUACAUGUGUUGGACUCACACCAGAGACAAGAUUCAAAGGGAAGUGGUACUGUCCAACAUGCAGACAAUUACCUCAUUGAUUACAAGUAUGCCCGCCUUUUAUUUGUGAUGUGACUCCUCCCCCAUCAAUUUUUGAAGGGUAUCUUUCGUAUGUUAUGUCUGUUUCGAUAAAGAAUUGUAUGUACCUAGUCAGUUAAUGGUGAAAAAGGGUAGUCGGAGAAAUGUGUUGUCUGUUUGCACCAAAAAUGUAUUCUCAUAAUCCCCG